Molecule: non-coding RNA, 4288 nt
Organism: Cricetulus griseus (Chinese hamster)
Lineage: Eukaryota; Metazoa; Chordata; Mammalia; Rodentia; Cricetidae
Source: RefSeq, a predicted model, not a curated record
UAAACAAAGAGUCGACUUUUCAUAUGGAAAUGGGAGAGUCUCUCAAAGAUGGGUCCCCCGAGCAGAAUAUAUUCCCCACUGAUGAAACAAAUGAAAGAUAUUGAAGAGAAAAAACAGCGAUUAACGGGUGACAGGAAUCCAGUGUCUCAGCCAGGUGCCCAGAAGCCUAGGUCUGAAGCUACAGGAGAUGCAGCCAGAAUGAGGGUGGCCAAGUGUGGGGGGUUGAACACCCUUCUCUCUCUUUCCUGCCGGAAUCCUGUUUAUCCAGCUGUUUCCCUGAAUUUGAUGCCCCUUGUAAUUACAUUUAAUGAGACUCCGAAUAUUAACUGGCACAAUAGCAAAGCGAUGAUCUCUAGUUGAAAACUCCAACAAGACAGGCUGUUCAGCUAGGGAUCUUCCUGUCUCCACCUCCUACAGCUCCUGGAUUGGUGAUCAUUGCUCUCCAGAUUCAUCAAGAAAGUUUCUUUAUGCUGUGGAUGGUGGCCAACACAGAAAUUCACAACUGGUCAAAGUAUGGUGAAUAAGUGUCAACAUAGUGCUUAGCCCAAAAUGGGGCAUUUAUAUCAUACCUUUGCCCCAAGGACCAUAUAGAAGAGAGGGCAGGAAGAUGUCAAGGGUCAGAGAAUAAACAUGAUCGUAGACAUGGUGUAAUGUCUAAUCUAUUUCUGAAUGUAAUGGCAUUGAAAUAUUUUGAUGGAAGUAGGAGGACACAUAGUAAAAUAUUCAUGAUUCACUGGUCAUCUGGUAAAUCCCUGAAGAAAUGCUGAUAUGUACACCGCUGCCUUCUCUCAUGAGCUUCUAUAUGCAACAGAUGAGUGUAAUUGUCUAUGAAACAAAACAUCGGUAUCUACAUAUGAAUUUCAUAUUCAUGGCAAUGGAUGGAGACUAACAACAGUGCUUCUUAUGGUCUGGGGUGCAUCCCUUGACGUCCUGGUUGGUGUGACAUCCAGUGAUACCAAGACCUGAGCAGUAUCAAGCGAGCCACGAAUCUCACAACUGGAAGCAGUGUCGGAGGGGAGCCCCAGCCUCAGACCUGGGAGCAGAGUCAGAGGUAGGUAGGUUUGAGCUACAGGCCCUGAGCAGCGUCAGUGAGAGACCUGAAUCUCAGCCCAGAAGCAGCAUUAGAGGAAGGACUGAGCUUCAGGCCCGGAGCAGCAUCAAGGGAGCCAUGAGUCUCAGAACCCGCAGCAGUGUCAGAGGGAAGCCCUAACCUCAGCCCCAGGAGCGAAGAGUGAUCACUGGGUAAAGCAACAGUAGCACUAUGCAGCAGUAGCUUCCAGAAACUAUUACAAAAAGUUCCUCUGGAAUAGAGCACCUGUGUCCCAGCCAGCAUCCACUGCCAUUUCUCAGUGGGAGACACUCCACUACUACAUCUACUGACUCAGCUCCAGCUACACCUCCAACAGGAGGAGCGUCCACGGGGACUGUAGCCCCACCCGCACCUCAGGGCGUGACCACCUGAGCAUUGGGCCCACUUCCACCAGGAGGAGAGUUCACCUGAAGCUCUGCUCUACUUGUGCCUGAAGAAGCUGUCAAUGGAGCCACAGCCCCUAACUAUACCAAUUGGAGAAAGAGAAAACCCCUGAAGCACAAGCUCCACCUUUACCGAUUAGAGGAAGAGAUGCAUAGACAACACACUCAACAAUGAUACCUAGAGACUCAGGAAGCCUACCAUCUGUAGGCUGCUGCAGUGGUGGUCGGGAAAGGUAGACAGCUGUACAUUGUCAGGCAUACAAAUGAUAUCUGUGCAGUAUAGCUACAACUAAACCACCAGCAGCCACAGAACUAAUGCAAUUUAUUCUCUGUGACUAGUCUCUUCAGAAGCAAUUAUAACAUAUAAUGAUAUCUAUGGUAAGGAUAAUAAGGCCUUUUCUGGGUUCGAGGAAUCUUUGUUUCUAUCAAAGGAGCUUUGGGGUCUCUCUAGAGAUUAGGCCAUGCAUUUAUUGGGAAUUAGUGGGUGAUAUUGUUGCUUCCGAAACCAUGGCACAACACUGUGAUGUUCUUAGGGACAGAACAUCCAUCCAUUAGAUGACAGUAUUUGUUGCCAGUGAGGAGAGGAAUCCUUCCUUGGCUGCUGACCUAAUGAUUGGUUAACAUCAGGCUCCAGAAGGCACACAUUUUUAUGGUACAUUAAUAUUUUCUUGCCUUUGUUAUUGCUGACAGGAAAUACAUAAUAGGUCUUUCCUCAUGCAUGAAGCUUUUCAUUUGUAAAAUUUUUCACUUCAAUAAUAAGACAUUUGAUUAAUACAGGGAAGCUAGGUUUUAGAGGAAACUCAUAUCAUUGUUGGUCAUACAUGAUGCAGAACCUUCCAGUAUUCUAUAGCAAAAUGUGAUGGUGCCUUCUGAAUGAAGCCAAAUCCAGAAGAAAUAAUAGUAAGUAAAUGUUAACUAUUGCAAUGGAGUUGGAUCCUAUGGUUGGUGAGCUAUUUGUUUUGUGACGUUCCCAAGGGUUAUUUUAUUGAGAGUUUUGCCAUUAAGUGGUCUAAUUGUGUCAGUGGAUGGGGGCAUUUUGAAUUUGCAUAAUUUCCUCAAGGGACCUCAGCUGCUAAUUUGGUGAUUAAUUAUCCAUAUUACACAUUGUUUAUUUGACCAUGCCUAGAUUAAUUUCUUUUUCCCAGCAAAUCACAUUUAGAUAUGAAUUUGCAUAUCUUGAUUACAUUUUAAUGUCAUGGCUAUCAUUGUCUCUUCCCUGGACACCUCAUGAGCUCAUAUAAGAGUGAUCAAGCAGAGAAUGAUGGAAUGUCUUAAAUGACAUCCCACAUCAGUGGACAGAAAAUGCGCAUGACUUAUUUUUAAUGAAGAAUGUGUUCCUUAAUAAUCCAGUAAAUUACAAUAUUUGAUGUGCAGUAUAUUUUGUGUUUCUAAUAUUUCCAUUUUAUUAUUGCCAACCAAUGUUAAUGUCUUAACUUUUUUAAUGUUUUUAUCAAUACAAAUAUAUAUCUGUAUGCAUACAUAUAUAUACACAUACAUAUAUAUUUAUGACUAAAAAUUGCAUUUUAUUUAUCUAUAGUGUGGCAUUCUGUUAUCAAAUUCUAACAAGCUUUAUAAUCACAUCAGGCUCAAGAAUGACUAGAAUUCUGGUUGCCCUGUGCUAAUACUACUUAGACUCAUAGAGUGUGUCUCAAGUUAUUUUAUUUCAUUUAUACACAAUGUAUCAUUGUUAUUUACUUUAUGGAGUACUAUCUCAAUUGCAGAUAGUACCUACUCAUUUUUAUUCAUUGUUAAACUGUCUUAUGAGAAAAAUUAUACUUUACUUGUCUUAAAAAAGAGCUAAUAAAUUUUAGAGACAGACAGAAAAUAAUUUAUUUUUGAUAAAGAACCAGGAAGUUGUGGAGUCAAAAUUAGGAUCUGCGUGACACGACCAAUGUUGCUUGCCAGCUCUAUAGACAUGGAAUACCAGCAAGAAAGGCUCUUAACUAGCAACAAAUAGAUUCUCCUGCUUCAUUAAAUGGAAAUAAAAUGAAUGAAUUGGUGCUUUGCACUAGCUAUGAAUAAAUGAUCUGUAUCAGCUCUAUGCCCACAGAAGACUGAAUGAGUGAAUUAAUGCAUGAGUGAAUGAAUGGGUGGAUGAUAACAUGGUUGUUUCCUAUACCAAUGAUACAGCCAAAUAAAGAAAUUCAAUGUCAACUGUCUACCCAGAUGUUAAGGAAAGACAAAGAAGCCUUCCGGAAGUGAAUUUGGCAGCUUUGACACGAAGAUCCACUAUAUUCAGGAUGUAGGGGUAGGACAAAGGCACAGUUCUUCUCUUCUUCUACACUGAGCUCUCCCUAGCCCAUCAGAUGGAACUCGGAAAAUGGGUAUGUAAGAAUCCUGAAUAAAAUAUUACAUCCAUCCAAACAUUUUGGAUACCUUGAUAUCUGCAGGUAAAAGAUAACAACUGUCAAACAACAUCUGUGCUUAAAUGGGAAAGGAAGUUAGAAUCUGCUGCCUGCGGCAUUUCUGUAAUUUCCAAAGUAUGAAGUACUGAAGUCUCAUUGUCAUCAACUGGGUAGGUUGAUGGCUACAGACCUCAGAGCUGUGUGCUUACCUGAUUGGCAUCAUAUCCAGGAUAUACUAGGAUAUACACUGAAUUUCCUCAGUUUCCCCUCAUAUGAGAAGGAUUAAUAAUAUUAUUGAUAUAUAUCUAUAUCUACAUGUAUCUUAAAUGCAGUCAUAUGCCACUAUAUGACUAUCAUUGCUAACACAAAUAAAACAAUAAUAAUGUAAACUAUGUAUAACAAAGUUUUAAUAAAUUAUAAUAGUAAUUAAUAAUAUUAAAGCCAAUCUAAAAUGUAUUGUUGUUUCUCAA